Molecule: long non-coding RNA, 3896 nt
Organism: Cyanistes caeruleus (blue tit)
Lineage: Eukaryota; Metazoa; Chordata; Aves; Passeriformes; Paridae
Source: RefSeq, a predicted model, not a curated record
UUAGUUUCAGCUUUGCUGCUGCUUUUAGGAGAGUUGGGCUUCUCCUAGUUCAGUGCUUAGAGAUGUGAAAGAAACUCUGAUGUACUCUGGAUCAACAUACCCACAUCAAAAAACAUGCCAGAUGCCUUUUUGGACACUAAUCUACACUUGUGCAACAGGAGUGUCAUCGCUGCAUGCCUUGGAAUGCUGGAGGCGUAGGAGUCGGGCUUGAAAGGAUUAGGCACUGGCAAUAAAUUUUGGCAGUGCCGUGGACUAGGACAUGCUAAUCUGUACAACACAUGCAGCUCGAAUAAACAUGGAAGGGAAGCCUUAAAAAGUUAAAGUCAUUUCCAUGCAAAGCUGACAGUACUUCUGGUUUAUCUGGUCCAUGCAAUCCAGUAGCUUCAUCACUGCACUAAGAAUUAGUCUUUCCUAGGAGGAUUAUUGAUGAGGAUCUGAACUGUGGUAGAGAUGUCUCCAGGCUGACACCGAUGGUCCCACAUUGAUGUACAUCUGGAACAAGUGAGCAGGAAAGAUACAGUGCAACUGCAGUUUGACUCCAUUUUACAGAAGAAGCAUCAGCACAGAGAUGAAACAGCUUUGCCCCAGAGUUACCUCAGCUCAGUGUACCUCUGAAAUGGAGUUUGAAACUGAACACUGACAUUCAGAGACCUAAGUCUGUGGCUGAAUUAUAAGCCUGUCUUAUGUCAUGAGGAUUUAGACAAGAACUGUCACUGGAUAAAAGAAAGGAGAAGCACUGUGAAGCAUUAUACUCUUGCUUUGUGGCGAUUUUUGUACUAUGUGUUCUCUUCUAAUCCAUUUACUCUCACUACCUCCCAGAUCAUCACAUUGAUCUUUCUUGCUCCUACAGACCUUGUGGCUGUGGUUCCCUGGAAAUAUCUGAAGAGCAAUGAGGUUGUGUAAGCAGUAAUGUUCUCCUCAGGCUUUUUGACAGCAGAACUUCAGAGUUAAUCUUAUGGGGCUUAAUUUGUUCAGUUGUUACUUUGUGCAUGCUUUAAGUGCCAGCACUGUGCUGGGUUCUUCUACAUGUUUCUUCUCAUGUGUGAGCAGUGACAUCACUGAAAAGCAAUGGAGUGCCCUGUGCUGUUGUCAGUAACCAUGGUGGUGGGGUCAGAACAAAGUAAAAAAACUCCUCAUUGUUCUCUAAACAGCAUUUGGUGAGAGGAGAGAGGAGGGGUCUUGUGUUUCUCUCUUACUCAUUCCUGCCACUGUAACAGUAUGUCCUCUGCUGGAGGAAGCAGUCACUGGGAUGGAUAGGAGCUGUAGAUUUCCUGUACUAAUCUUUUUGGUACUAAUUUUCUGUACUAAUCCUUUGGUAGAUUCUCAUGAAUUAAGAAGCACGUAUGUCACAGCUGUGGCUGGAUUCCAGUCCAAACCCUUAGUGCUAAGUUUUCUAGGAUUGUCUCUUACUCCUGGCUUAAGUAAAUCAAUCUUUGGUUUUACUGUAUCAGGGGGUAUCAGGUUAAUCUGGUUGCUGUUUUCCAUCAUCCAUGACCACAUUUCUUGCUGGGAAUAGGAACUGUGAAGUGACCUUAAAACUGAGUAUCACUUUUGUACUUCUAAAAUAAUGGUAGCUGUUACUAAAUAUUCUGUUUGUACACCUGAAAGGUCUUUGGUCUACAGAUCACAGAACAGGCCAGUAGAGGGAAUUUUCAUCUGAAAGGUGUCAUGAAGUUUAGCAGAAACAUUUAAUAAGUGAAGUGAUAGGAACAUUAAAUGCUAAUUAAUGGUGUUGCUUGCAUUUUGAGAUCAUUAUUGCAUGGACUGGCUACCUGAUGCAGUAUCACCACCUGAUGCAUGAGGAAGUGAAUCAUCAUUACACAUUUUAUGCCUAAAAAACUCUAAAUGUGAAAGACCUCAGGUAGUUCAGCUAGGGUAUAAAUGAUCUGCAGCAGUGAUUGUGGACUGUAUAGAAUUAUAAUAGUUUCUGUCUGCUAGAAAUGAAUUUCAGGAAAGCACAUGACAUGUUUGGUUCACUUUACUUUUCCUAAUAGAAAAUGAGAGCUUUCAUCAGCCACAGGAAGUUGUGCAUUGAAUGAGGAUUCUUGUCUCGUAGCAGAUGUACUGAUUUGCAUGGGAGUGAGCUAAUUUCCAAUGAUCAGCUCAGAAUGGAUUCAGCAAAUCCAGCUAGUACAUGCCAUUUCCUGCUGAGAAGUGUGGAGGGAGCUGAAAUAAUAUGUGCAAACAUAGAGAAAGGAUAAUGGGUAUAUGUGAAGAGCUUGGCUGAGUAUGUUUAAGCAUUUUGGUCUGGUGGGAUGUUAUAAAUGACUCAGACCCCAGGCAGGAAUGAGUAAAUAAAAUAUAACUAGAACCCGUUAAAGUUACAAAGCAAAGCUCUGAGAGCGUAGUGAGACUCUCUCCUCACCAGAGGCUCGCCCACAAAAUGGCAUGUCCACCUUUUAUAUACUCAAGGUGGAAUCAGCCACAUGAAUAUUCAUGAACAGUCCUGAUAUGUCCUCCCAUCGCCUCCCACAGUCCCUGGCUUUUCCCAUAGCUGUAGAUCUGGCUCCUCCCAAGGUCUGUCAGUCCUCCUGCCUUUCACUGGUGGAGCCUCUCUCACAUCUUGAUGGCUGUGCGGUGUUACCCUGCCAGGCCUCCCGGCACACAGUGCCCCCCACUCACUGCUGCCUCCUGCAAGGGACAAGUGUGUGUCCCCCCCAACAUGUUUUGACAGCUCUGUCAGCCAGAGCUGCCAGGCAGUAACCACAGAAGGGGGAAGGGGAGGAUUGAGGGGAGAACAGAAAAUUGGAACCAAAAUUGGAACUAAAAAACCAAAUUGGAACCACAAAAGUACAUGUCAAAAGAGCUGUAAACCUUAACAGAACUUCCCACCAUACUUAAUAACUCCUCCUUAUUUGCAUUAGCCAAUCACUACACCUUAUUCAUAACAUGGGAUAACUUGUGAUAGAAUGAAAAGUUGCUUCUUAAAGCUGUUUAAUGAGAAUUUGCUAUGAAAUUUGACAUUCUGGAAAAAAAAAAAAUUACCAGUUUUCUCAUAUCUUGGUCUUCAGAUGAGAAAAUAGUCCUCCUUAUAACCAACAAGAAAGGAUAUUGGACGCCUGAUUUUUGUAAGGAGUGUGUGGUGCUCUUGGAUCACUGAACAGUUGCUGCAAAUGCAGAAGAUGAUCAGCCAUAUCACUUGCUGUGUUUCAGCUAGAACUGGACAUCGCCAGGAUUUUAAAAGAUGUAACUGUUUUUGGUUGUGAUGAGACUUAGUUUAACUGGAACAGUUAAAUUGCCUUUUCAGGCUAAUGUUCACCUAGGUUCAAUUUGGUUUGCCCUUUUCUCUGUAACCAAGGCAGAAGCUUGGUUACACUGGAUAUCUAGCUUUCAAAACAUACUUCAUCUGAAUUUCACUGCUUGGAAACAAAAAUAAUUUGUGUGGUUCUUGUUCUUUUGGAGUGUGGAAGUUAUGGCCUGCUUUUCCUCUAGGAUGAGUCACUGAAACAGCCCUUCUCCCUUUUAUGGUGGCAUUCUGGCAAUCCCUUGUUGGGAAAGUCACCCAGGAAAGGACAUACUCUGCUUGUAAGUGAGAGUGGUGUGGCCAGUACAGAAGUUUGUGCUUUGUGGCCAUGGGGACUUCCUGUUUUAUGUUCAGUGUAGUCUCCCACUACUGUUUUCCAUUGCCAGCACUAGAUGUUUAGGGAUCAGCAUCAGGGAUAUCUUAAAUAUUGUCCAAACUUUAAAUAAUUUCCAUUUCUUUGUCCCUGGCAUGUCAUGGUUGGUGUUUCAGUGGACAUGCCUCAAAGGACAGAUGAGGUUUUUGAGCAGAACUUAGAUGUAUUCUCCAGGGAGAAAAAAAAAAAGGUGGUGAAUUUUCAUGUACCAAUAAAAGUGCAAAUGUAUUUUGAUACUAUUCUUGUCAAAAUAAAUGUGACAACCAAUGGAUUCUCAAA